This 389-nucleotide ribosomal RNA is filed under the name uncultured eukaryote. RNAcentral describes it as "SSU rRNA". It matches the Rfam family "Eukaryotic small subunit ribosomal RNA", at positions 587 to 972 of the family's 1831-position model. The record is from RNAcentral.
AGCUCCAAUAGCGUAUAUUAAAGUUGUUGCAGUUAAAAAGCUCGUAGUUGGAUUUCUGGUCGGAGCGAUCGGUCCGCCUCAUUCGGGGUGUGUACUUUGUGUCGUCUCCAGCCAUCCUUGAGGAGAACUGUCCUGGCAUUGAGUUGUUGGGGCAGGGAACCUCAUCUUUUACUGUGAAAAAAUUAGAGUGUUUAAAGCAGGCUUACGCCGUUGAAUACAUUAGCGUGGAAUAAUAAGAUAGGACUUUGGCGGUCUAUUUUGUUGGUUUGCACGCCGAGGUAAUGAUUAAUAGGGAUAGUUGGGGGUAUUCGUAUUUAAUUGUCAGAGGUGAAAUUCUUGGAUUUCUGAAAGACGAACUACUGCGAAAGCAUUUACCAAGGAUGUUUUCA